AUGUACAGCAAAGGCAGCAGUUAACAGCAGUGCGCCCCGUGCAGCAGCCAGGCCAGGGGGAGUCAGCACUGCGUGUAUGGAUGUCUGCUUCAUGUAGGCACUCAGAAAUAGGCUCAGACAUUUUUAUCAGAGAUAAGAUGGGAAAAAAACAUCACAUUGGGGGGGAGGGCAGGAUUCUUACAUUCUUGGUGGUGUGUGUUUUGGGAUUUCUACUGUGCAGCUCCAGAGAGACGGGAACACUCAAAGCAAAAGCCUUCCAUGAUUAUAGUGCUGCAGCAGCUCCCAGCCCCAUGCUAGGAAGCAUGCCCCCAGGAGAUGGCAUGCCAAUAGGUCCCAUGCCACCAGGGUUCUUUUAGCCUUUUAUGUCAUCUCAGUACCUUGGAGGCCCAAGGCCCCCAUUGAGGAUACCUAAUCAGGCACUUGGAGGUAUCCCAGGAAGUCAGCCAUUACACCCCAGUGGAAUGGAUCCAUCAUGACAACAAGGUCAUCCAAAUAUGGGUGGACCAAUGCAGAGAAUGACUCCCCCAAGAGGUACGGUGCCCUUAGGACCACAGAACUAUGGAGGUGCAAUGAGACCCCCACUGAAUGCUUUAGGUGGCUCUGGAAUGCCUGGAAUGAACAUGGGUCCAGGUGGUGGUAGACCUUGGCCAAACCCAACAAAUGCCAAUUCAAUACCCUACUGGGAAUUAUGUAGGUCCUUCAGGAGGUGGAGGACCACCAGGAACACCCAUCAUGCCUAGUCCAGCAUAUUCAACUAAUUCUGAAGAUAACAUGUAUACUUUAAUGAAUGCAGUACCUCCUGGGCCUAACAGAACUAAUUUUCCAGUGGGCCCUGGAUCAGAUGGUGGAUUAGGAGGAAUGGAGUCCCAUCACAUGAACGGCUCUUCAGGCUCAGGAGAUAUGGACAGUAUUUCCAAGAAUUCUCCCAAUAAUCUGAGCCUGAGUAACCAGCCGGGCACUCCAAGGGAUGAUGAUGAAAUGGGGGGGGAAAUGUCUUAAAUCCUUUUCAGAGUGACAGUUACUCCCCCAGCAUGACCAUGAGUGUGUGA
This 1049-nucleotide long non-coding RNA is filed under the name Mus musculus (house mouse). RNAcentral describes it as "long non-coding RNA chr4:53662295-53663344". Lineage: Eukaryota; Metazoa; Chordata; Mammalia; Rodentia; Muridae. The record is from RNAcentral.